Molecule: long non-coding RNA, 4181 nt
Organism: Homo sapiens (human)
Lineage: Eukaryota; Metazoa; Chordata; Mammalia; Primates; Hominidae
Gene: TMEM9B-AS1
Product: TMEM9B antisense RNA 1
Source: Ensembl
AGUGCGAAGGGCCGGGAGGCUGGGCAGUCCUGGUGCCCGCCUUGGCCUAGCCCCGGCCCCGGGACGGAAGGGGGCCUCUGGGGUGGCAGCCUGGGCCCAGUAGAGCUUUGCAUCUCUUGGAUAUCUUUCCCGGGCGCAGAAGCUGCGGGGCUUAGGGAGUCGCCAUUGCGCUGGAAAGUCCUCCCGCCCACGGAGACCCCAGCAAACUCCGAGUGUCACACAGUCGCCUCUGGCGACCCGUGCGGGCCGGAGCCGUUCGCGCACAGGCAGGGCGGGUGCUGAGCGUGGAAACGGGGCUGGAAUUGGCCGAGCCAUGCCUUUCCGGGAUGCCCACCGCCAGUCAAAGGGUUGGGGGUGGUCUCUGCACCUUAAGUACUAACCUGCCGCCCACGCGCCUCCUGACCACAGCACCCCGUCGGCUUUCUAAUUCUGUGAGCUGCCCUCGUGGGCGUGGCCUCCCUGUGGAGCUCCCCAUGUGCCUCCCCUUGGUCCAGCCUGCAGCUAGGAAGUGGGUCACAGCGACGGGGCUGGGCUGGGCCAGGCCAGGCUCCGGGAGAUGUGGAAUUGGCGAAACAACUGCCCCAGUAGUAUCCUCCGCCUAGGACUCCAAGAGGUGGCGAAUUGGGGCACUACGCCCGGGAACCAGGGUGGCAGGGCUAGAUGUCCUCUCACCAGACUGCCCAGUGAAGGUGCUGUCACUUUGAUGAAUUAUCAAGGCUUUGUAGUGGGUCUUCUACUGGACAAAGGACAAACUGGAGACUCCCUGGAUCAAAUGUGUUGAAAAUGUUAUAGUGCUGUCAGGAAGUGCUGUUCUGGAAUACAGAAUGUGGCUGCCGUGAGUGGAGUGUGACUAUGAGAUAGUCGCCUGACUGGAGACAAUGAAGCCUCAGGCCAAGGAUGCUCCCUCCUACUCAGCCCUGUUUAGUGGGAUUUUUCAGCCCACUGUAAAGCCUACUGCUGCCUGUAAAGCCACCUAAGUGCAUCACUUGCUGGUGUUCACCAUGAUAACAACAAUUUAUGGGGACAGAAUAUGUUUCUAGAGCUGCUGGUGCCACUGCUGAUGUUACUGGGUUCCCUGAAAUAAAACACCACAGUGCAGGUGAGUACCAAAGUGGGGAGAAUUUUUAGUUCCUUUUAGAGGUGCUAAAUCAAUAUUGUUGAUUUCCCAGUACCUUAGAAUAUUUAAUGAAAACAGGUCAGGUGCAGUGGCUCACGCCUGUAAUCCCAGCACUUUGGGAGGCCAAGGCAGGUAGAUCACUUGAGGUCAGGAGUUCAAGAACAGCCUGGCCAACAUGGUGAAACCCCAUCUCUACUAAAAAUACAAAAAUUAGCAGGGCGUGGUGGCAGGCACCUGUAAUCCCAGCUACUCCGGAAGCUGAGGCACCAGAAUCGCUUGAACUCAGGAGGCGGAGGUUGUAGUGAGUCGAGAUCAUGCCACUGCACUCCAGCCUGGGCGCAUGGUGGCUCAUGCCUAUAAUCCCAGCACUUUGGGAGGCUGAGGCAGUCAGAUCACUUGAGGUCAGGAGUUCAAGAACAGCCUGACCAACAUGGUGAAACCCCAUCUCUACUAAAAAUAGAAAAAGUUAGCCAGGCGUGGUGGCAGGCGCCUGUAAUCCCAGCUACUCAGGAGGCUGAGGCAUAAGAAUCCUUGAACCCAGGAGGCGGAGGUUGCAGUGAGCUGAGAUUGCACCAUUGCACUCCAGCCUGGGCAACAAUAGCGAAACUCCGUCUCAAAACAAACAAACAAACAAAACAAAAAAACUUAAUGAAUACAGUCCCUCCUAAGAUUUUCAAAUAAAUGAAAUACCACAUUAAUCAUAUUGUUUUAUUUUUAUCAUUACAUUAAAAAUCAAAUAGUAUCACUAGGUUUAUAAUGAAAAACAGCAGACCCUGUCCCAGCCCUCCACACUCUCAGUUUCUACUCCCUAGAUAUAAUCUCUAUUCACCCAGCUACCUCUUCUGGUAUUUAUCUCCGUAUUUCUAAAUAGCAUGCUUAUACUACUAAUUCUUAAUUUUUCAGUUUGGGCCAUUAUUUUACUUUUUCUAUAGGAAAUAAGAUAUGUGUUUAUACUCUGAAGACUGGUAAUACACACAUGUAUUUCUCCAUCUUCCAUCCUUCAGUUUAUCUAUAUCACCCUAUAUAGGUAGAGUACUAUUCAUUAUACUAUUAUAAAGGUAUGUAAUUGAUCCAGUUAGCAUAAUAUGAUUAUAUUUCCUUUAUUUUGAUUGAAGUUAACUAUUGCCUCUUUCUCCAUGCAACUUUCUUAAGUACCUAGCAUUCAAGUGUCUAUAAUCAAUUUAUUCCAAACUGUCCUUUCAAAACAUUGAAACACAUCAAGUAGUCUAUCAAUCAGUUUAUUUUUUAAAUUGGAGACAACUCUCUAGGAGCCCAUCAUCCUCCUUCACUGUGGACUAGUUUUUCUCUAAGCCUACUGCACAGCUUUUGUCCUGAAAUAAUUUUAUCCUUUCUACCCUGUUUUCCACUUCUUUUUGUUUUUCUGAAAGAUUUCCACCUUCCAGCUUUUCUUUUGAAUUUUAAAAUUUCUGUUAUGUUUUAAAUUUGCCAGAAUACUUUCUUGUCAACCUCUCUUUUAAUUAAAAAUAUUUUUUAUUUUUGUAAUUUAAAGGUUUAUUGUAAAUUGACAAGUACAAAUUGGAUAUAUUUAUGGGGUACAAAGUGAUGUUAUAUGUAUACAAUGUGGAAAGAUUAAAUCAAGCUAAUUAACAUAUCCAUCACUACAAAUACUUCUUUGUGGUGAGAAUACUUGACAUUUACCUUCAGCAAUUUUGAAAUAUACAGUACAUUAUUAUUAACCAUGCUAUACUCUUUAUCUCAAAAAAUGUAUUCCCUUUAUCUAACUGAAACUUCGUACUCUAACCAACAUCUCCUUGUUUCCCCUACCACCCCUUCCCCCUACUCUCUGAUAACCAUCAUUCUACUCUGAUUCUGUGAGUUUGUUUUAGAUUCUACAUUAGGAAUCAUGUGACUUUGUCUGUCUGUGCCUGGCUUAUUCCAUUCAGCAUAACGUCCUCCAGGGAAGCACUUUCUUGUCCACCCCCUUCCCCUUUUUAAAUAGCAGUCUGUUCCAUUUGGUGGAUGCAGUAUCUUAUUACUCUAAGAAUAUUGCUAAUGUUUUCUUUUGUUUCUUGAAUUGUCUGUGUUGAAUUUUUAAGGCUUGUUUCUGUUUUGUGUUGGAAGCUUUUCUUAAACGUCUAGAGAUCCUUGGCCAUCCAUUCAUAUGUAAGAGUGGGGCACUAGAAAGCCAAUAGAAAGUUCUGUGUACACUGGCCAGUGAGGUGGCUCACACCUGUAACCCCAGCACUUUGGAAGGCCAAGGCAGGCAGAUCACUUGAGGUCAGGAGUUCAAGACCAGCCUUGCCAACAUGGUGAAACCCCAUCUCUACUAAAAAUACAAAAAUUAGCCGGGCUGGUGGCGCACGCCUGUAAUCCUUGCUACUUGGGAGGCUGAGGCUUGAGAAUCUCUUGAACCCGGGAGGCAGAGGUUGCAGUGAGCUCUCCAGCCUAGGCAACAGACCAAAACUCUGUCUCAAAAAAAAAAAAAGUUCUGUGUACAUACUUAGGACUUGUAAUUGGUAGGACAUACUGCAGUAUUUUUCAAACUUCUGGUCGCAAACCCAUUAGUAGUUUGUGAAAUCAAUAUAAUCAGUUUUAUUUCCCCCAAAUGACAGAACAGAAUAGAAAACACCACCUCAGAAUACAUCUACAUAGAAAGAGAAUUAUUUUAUGAAACUUUGGUUUCUUACACAUAUCAUAUAUACAUAUUAUGUACUGGUUUGAUCCCAUAAAAUGGGAGUUUUUUUUUUUUAUUGUGGGUGUUUCUUCAAAGAAAUUUGAAAAAGUACAACUUAGGAUAAUCAAAGAGAUCUCCAACUGUCAGGACAGGUAGGUCUUUUCUCUUAGAGAGGUUAAGUUCCGGCCCAGUGCGGUGGCUCAUGCCUGUAAUCCCAGCACUUUGGGAGGCUGAGGCGGGCAGAUCAUGAGGUCGGGAGAUUGAGACCAUCCUGGCUAACAUGGUGAAACCUCAUCUCUUCUAAGAAUACAAAAAAUAAGUCAGGCAUGGUGGCACGCGCCUGUAAUCCCAGCUACUCGGGAGGCUGAGGCAGGAGAAUCAUUUGAACUCGGGAGGCGGAGAUUGCCACUGCACUCCAGCCUGGGCGAC